Molecule: ribosomal RNA, 460 nt
Filed under: uncultured bacterium
Lineage: Bacteria
Description: partial 16S ribosomal RNA
Rfam family: Bacterial small subunit ribosomal RNA
Source: RNAcentral
CCUACGGGGGGCAGCAGUGAGGAAUAUUGGUCAAUGGACGAGAGUCUGAACCAGCCAAGUAGCGUGAAGGAUGACUGCCCUAUGGGUUGUAAACUUCUUUUAUAUGGGAAUAAAAUGUUCCACGUGUGGGAUUUUGUAUGUACCAUAUGAAUAAGGAUCGGCUAACUCCGUGCCAGCAGCCGCGGUAAUACGGAGGAACCGAGCGUUAUCCGUAUUUCAUAGGUUUAAAGGGAACGUAGGUGGAUUGUUAAGUCAGGUGUUAAAGUUUGCGGCUCAACCGUAAAAUUGCAGUUGAAACUGGCAGUCUUGAGUACAGUAGAGGUGGGCGGAAGUCGUGGUGUAGCGGUGAAAUGCUUAGAUAUCACGAAGAACUCCGAUUGCGAAGGCAGCUCACUGGACUGCAACUGACACUGAGGCUCGAAAGUGUGGGUAUCAAACAGGAUUAGAUACCCUAGUAGUC